AACUCUUAACCACGGAUAUCUUGGCUCUCGUAACGAUGAAGAACGCAGCGAAAUGCGAUACGUAGUGUGAAUUGCAGAAUUCCGUGAAUCAUUAAAUCUUUGAACGCAUAUUGCGCUCGAGGCUUCGGCCAAGAGCAUGUCUGCCUCAGCGUCGGGUUAAU
Molecule: ribosomal RNA, 161 nt
Filed under: Chlamydomonas sp. ICE-L
Lineage: Eukaryota; Viridiplantae; Chlorophyta; Chlorophyceae; Chlamydomonadales; Chlamydomonadaceae
Description: 5.8S ribosomal RNA
Rfam family: 5.8S ribosomal RNA
About the family: 5.8S ribosomal RNA (5.8S rRNA) is a component of the large subunit of the eukaryotic ribosome.
Source: RNAcentral